AAUUUCGGGCUAAAAUCGGUCCAUUAUCAGUAAAUAUCGGUCACGAUACUCGAUAGUAUACCUAGUAUACAUCGGUCACGAUCCACAAUCAAAUCAAAAUUCAGUAAACUCAAAAAUCAAAAUUCAGUAUAUAUCGGUCACGAUCCCAAAGGAAAUUUUGUUUGGGAUUUAUUUCCAAUUGCCAUAUGUUGGAGAAUUUGGAAGGAGAGGAACGAAAGAACUUUCAACGGUAAGGAAAUGCUCAUAGACAAUCUAAUUCUGGAAAUCAAAGCUGACAUUUUGUAUUGGGCGCAGCCGUCGAGAACGCUAGAUGGAGUGAUUUUUGAAGAUCUUGUUUUCAGAUGGGAGGAACUGAUGAGAAAGCGAAAAGUUUCUGUUUGUUUGGGAUUGCACUGUGACCAACUUUAUGGAUCACAAUGUUUAGAUUUUUAUGGAUCACAAUGUUUAGAUUUUACCGGUGUAUUUUUUAUUCUUUUACCGUAUUAUCUAUAUAUAUCUUUAUUUUUGCUGAUCAAAAAAAAAAAGAUUAAAAUUACUGCCCUGAUUUACAAUCGAUCAAGAUGAAAUUGCGUUCUGGCAAGAAAACUUGUUCAUCUCCCAAGAAAAAAACUACAAUAACACAACUUGAAGAGAAUUUAUUGCUUGAAAUAUUUAGUUUGCUAUCUUUCAACUCAAUCUUUAGAUUCAGGUGCGUCUCAAGGGGAUGGGCUUCUCUUCUCUCCGACUGUCGUUUCAUGAACAAAUGGAGUCAGAUCAAUGGCUCUCAAUCUUUCCCGUGGCUCGUUUAUCACUCUAAGAUGGAUUUCGGGAUCUCAUAUUCAAAAUCAUCAGCGAGUUCAGAACUCAUAUCAGGUAAUCGACAUGGGUUUUCCUUUAAGUUUUUGAAUCCAAACCCCAAUUUAGAAAACAACAUAAUAGACCUGCUAGGUGUAACGGUCUGGUUUUAUGUUGUUCAUCAAGUAAGGAGUAUUAUUAUGUUUGCAAUCCCCUUACAAAACAGUGGGUUUCACUUCCUCCAACUCCUCCUAUGUCCACCACCACCACCAUUGCUGCUUUUACUAGUGAGUCUAUUUCAUCCAAUACUUGUUAUAAGGUUGUGCUCAUGCCAGUGUCUGAUAUGGAAUUGAGGAAAAUUAACAUUCAAGUUUUCUCUUCUGUUGUGGGUAAAUGGAAUAUCUAUCAAGUGUCACACCCUAAGCCUAGGGGUUAUUUCUUUGACUUCGACUUCGAGAGUUUAAUUGUCGUAAAUGGACAAAUAUAUUGGAUGGACGGGAAAGAUAUAUUAUCUUACGAUCUAAACAAUAACAAUAGCAUUCAAACCGGUGGCCAACAAUGUAGGUUGAUGAACUUCCCUGUCUUGUCAGGAAAUUAUAAUGAUGAAAGCGACAUUUUUUGUCUAAAGGAGUACAGAGGUUUGUUAUGUUUUCUUGCAAUUUCGAAAACCUCGAGGUAUUUGUCUGUCUGGGUGUUUGAGGAGGAUUGGAAUAUAGUGCACAAGGAUAUUGUGUUGCUUGAUUUCGUAGCGGGAAUGUAUAGAAGAUACAAUAUGGAAGAGUAUGAGGCUUUUGAAGAAGUUGACAGUGAAAGUGAAAGUAACUAUUGCGACAAAGAAAAUGGGGCUAUUGAAGAAGUUGAGGUUAUAGGUUUUAGUCCAGUCGAUGCAAAUGUGAUUUUGUUCGGUUGUAAUGAUGGAGUUUGGGCCUACGACAUUGAAAGUACAAAAUCCGAAGAGCUCAUCGAGCCUUCGUUCAUGGCUACGACAAAUUUGGUUGGAACUCGUUAUCGCGUCUACAACUCAUUUGCUAUAAAGACAAUGCCAACAGUGCUUCCAUCACCUUCGUGGAAAAGCAUACCAGUUAUAAUGGAUCAACAAGGGCAUCGACAGUCCUCAGCUGUGGGGAUGGUUGCAAGUGCAAGUCAAAUGUCAUACGGAGCAGCUCAAUCUCCAGCUAACAAAUAAUAGCCUCUUGCAGGCUCUAUUCACUCUCCAGAGACUCCAGAUGAAGUUAUAGCAAACACGUCAGUUAUUUGGCACUUGGUCAUGCUUAGCGAUGUGGUGUACGCCUACCAAUCACAUGAGUAACCAGUCUUUACGGAAUUUGGGUGUACGCCUACCAAUCACAUGUGUCUACUGUUGACAUUAUUUUUUCUUGUCUUUACAUCUUGAAGAAUCCUGUGAAUAAUAACUAGAGUACUAGCACUUGUCUGGCGGAACACAUAGCCCUGGUUUUGAAACCGUGGUGGAGACCCGACCACACAAUAAACGUGGUGUGAUUACUCCUUAAAGAAAUCUAGCUAGGUGUGAGCAUUUUCCAUGUGAAAUCACUUUGCGCUCUUUAUAGGACUGCUACCCAGUCUUCUACUUUUUCUCCACCAUAAUACUAAACAAUGACACUCUUUACAGGUUCUCCACUAUAAAUUAAACAAACUGUAGAAAAUCCCAGCUCUGAUGAUAAUAUAUUCCCAGCGUUGACGAUUACAGUUUACUAAUAUGUUUUUUCUUUUUCUUUCUACUUUAUCGCUUCUUCCUUUGCGGUUCGACAACUUUUAUUACAAAAACUCCUCUUUAAGGUGCAGUUAGAAACCCCAAAUACCAAACUAGUGCACUUGUUUCCAAUCUAUCAAGAUGAAUUUGGGUUCUUCUUCUUCUUCUCUUGGGACAACUCCAAACACAAAAUUAACAGAUGAUAUCUGGUUUGAAAUAUUUCUUCUUCUUCCUUUCAUAUCAAUCUUUAAAUUGAGGAGUGUUUCCAAGGUAUGGUCUUCUCUUCUCUCAGACCCUCAUUUCAUUAGUAAAUGGGUUCAACUCAAUGUCUCUGAUAAACUCCCAUGGUUGGUAUAUCAUAAUAUUAAUCAGGCUGAUAUUCAGUUGAAAUUUUUACUUUUCACAUUCAAAAUCACUGAGUUCAGAAUUCAUAUCAGGUAAUCAACAUGGGUUUUCUUUUCGGUUUUUGAAUCCAGAAUCCAAUCCAGAGAACAACAGGAUUUACCUGGUAGGUUCUAGUAAUGGUUUGGUUUUAUGUACAUCAAGUUAUGCGAGACCGAACUUAAGACCAAGGGACUAUUAUGUAUGUAAUCCACUUACACAUGAAUGGGUUUCACUUCCUCCAGCUCCUAGUUCCACUACCCCAAUUGAGGUUGUUAUUGGUUUUACUUGCGAGGCUGUUUCAUCUACUACUAGUUACAAGGUUGUGGUUAUCCCAAGAUUUGGCAAGCCAUCCAACAAAGUUAACAUUGAAAUAUUUUCUUCUCAUGUGGGUGAAUGGAAUGUCUAUGAAGUUUCAGGCAUCAAGGAUUCUAUUGGUUGUUACGCUUUGGUUAUAAGUGGAGUACUGUACUGGAAUGGAGUGAAAGGUAUACUAGCUUACAAUCUGAACGACAAUAACAUUGAAACACAACCUUACUUGAAUCAUAUCCGUUCUAUUAGCUCGUA
This is an RNA transcript of Papaver somniferum (opium poppy), 3433 nucleotides long. RefSeq lists it as uncharacterized. Lineage: Eukaryota; Viridiplantae; Streptophyta; Magnoliopsida; Ranunculales; Papaveraceae. The record is from RefSeq and is a predicted model, not a curated record. The transcript is spliced from 3 exons.